RNAcentral lists this long non-coding RNA (1184 nucleotides) under Ananas comosus (pineapple). RNAcentral's name for it is "long non-coding RNA (ACOM_LNC035548)". The record is from RNAcentral. Lineage: Eukaryota; Viridiplantae; Streptophyta; Magnoliopsida; Poales; Bromeliaceae.
GGCAUAAGUCGCAAAGGAUUUUAUUAUUGGUAGCAGAGAUCUUAAGUUCGAAUCCUAAUUGGUGCACAUUUCUAGCUAAGUUUAUUUCUAAAUAAAAUAAACGAAACAAGUAGCAUGCUACCUAUCUCUCUCUCUCUCUAAAAAAAAAAAAAAAAGUGGAGAAAAGUGAAGUUGUUUGCGACUGUAAAAUAUUAUUUUCGCUGUUUGAUUUGCAUUAAUAAAACACAGUCGAAACUUGAGUUAUCUCAAAUAGCGUAAUUUGUCUUCGAUCCACUUUGGAUCGAAGUCAAUUAUGGUAAAACGAGGUGAAGAAAAAAAAUUAAUAAAAUAAUACUGUGGAUAAUGCUAGCUAUAUUUAAAUAUAUUUGAUUGUGGUACUGAUUACUUUUUUGUUUAGUUUAUAUAUUUAAAAUGUGAUGAAAAUUGAUUAAUUGAGUAUUAAUAUUUCUUUUACUCUAUGAUUUUAUUGUUGUAAUAUUAUAAUUUAUGUAUAAAAAAUUAAUUUAGUUAUUUUAGGUUAUAUUUUUAAUUAAUAGGGAUACAAUUAAUUUAUUUUUUUAUAUUAUAAUUUAUUAUUUAUCAAGUUAUAUAUAUAUAUAUAUAUAAAGAGGAAAGAGAGAGAGAGAGAGAGAGAAAGAGAGAGAGGCUACUAUACUCUUAUAAGUAUGAUCGCCCUUGUACUCAUAAGUUGUUUUCGAUGAUAGAGCUUCCAAAUCGACGAUCCACACUGUUAAACAUUAUCUAGAGCAUUUAAAACUUCUAGAAAUUAAUUUUCAUAAUUUUUUGACAUCAUUUGCCUUACGAUCAAAAACUCACAAAAUUGACAAUUUUUAACAACCGUUAUGGGAUACUUGCUAGUUUAACGGUGUAAAUGAAUCGGAAUUGGUUGAAAUUUUGAUAGAAAAUUCUAUUCACUACCUAGAUAAAGAUCAAUAACUCCGAUCUUAAAUUGAAGGAUCCGAUCAUCCAUUUUUAGGACGUCGUUCGAUUUUGAUAGUUCAUUUUAUGCCCGCUUGAUGGACUUUAUUAUGAUUUCGAAAAAUUACGAAAUUUAUUUUCUAAAAGUUUCAAAUACUCUAGAUCAUAUUUAACGAAGUGGAUCGUCGAUUCGGAAGCUCCAUCAUCGAAAACAACUUAUGAGUACGAAGGGCCCAAUACUCAUAAGAGUAUAGUAGCCCUACUCU